Molecule: ribosomal RNA, 433 nt
Filed under: uncultured bacterium
Lineage: Bacteria
Description: partial 16S ribosomal RNA
Rfam family: Bacterial small subunit ribosomal RNA
Source: RNAcentral
AACGAACGCUGGCGGCAUGCCUAACACAUGCAAGUCGAACGAGACCUUCGGGUCUAGGUGCGCACGGGUGCGUAACGCGUGGGAACCUGCCCUUAGGUUCGGAAUAACUCCCCGAAAGGGGUGCUAAUACCGGAUAAUGUCUUCGGACCAAAGAUUUAUCGCCUUUGGAUGGGCCCGCGUUGGAUUAGCUAGUUGGUAGGGUAAAAGCCUACCAAGGCGACGAUCCAUAGCUGGUCUGAGAGGAUGACCAGCCACACUGGGACUGAGACACGGCCCAGACUCCUACGGAAGGGAGCAGUGGGGAAUAUUGGACGAUGGGCGAAAGUCUGAUCCAGCAAUGCCGCGUGAGUGAUGAAGGCCUUAGGGUUGUAAAGCUCUUUUACCCGGGAUGAUAAUGACGGUACCGGGAGAAUAAGCUCCGGCUAACUCCGUG